GCAAGUCGUGCGCGCCCUUCGGGGUGAGCGGCGGACGGGUGAGUAACGCGUGGGAACGUGCCCUUCAGUUGAGGAUAGCCCCGGGAAACUGGGAGUAAUACUCGAUACGCUCUACGGAGGAAUGAAGGAUCGGCCCGCGUUAGAUUAGGUAGUUGGUGCGGUAAUGGCGCACCAAGCCUACGAUCUAUAGCUGGUUUUAGAGGAUGAUC
RNAcentral lists this ribosomal RNA (209 nucleotides) under uncultured bacterium. RNAcentral's name for it is "partial 16S ribosomal RNA". It matches the Rfam family "Bacterial small subunit ribosomal RNA", at positions 57 to 305 of the family's 1533-position model. The record is from RNAcentral.